GGGCCCGCACAAGCGGUGGAGCAUGUGGUUUAAUUCGAUGAUACGCGAGGAACCUUACCAGGGUUUAAAUGCAGAACGACAGGGGUGGAAACACCUCCUUCUUCGGACGGUCUGCAAGGUGCUGCAUGGUUGUCGUCAGCUCGUGCUGUGAAGUGUCGGGUUAAGUCCCAUAACGAGCGCAACCCCUAUUUCUAGUUGCCAGCGGUUCGGCCGGGGACUCUAGAGAAACUGCCAGCGUAAGCUGUGAGGAAGGUGGGGAUGACGUCAAAUCAUCACGGCCCUUACGUCCUGGGCCACACACGUGCUACAAUGGUAAGGACAGAGAGUUGCCAACCCGCGAGGGUGAGCUAAUCUUUAAACCCUAUCACAGUUCGGAUCGGAGUCUGCAACUCGACUCCGUGAAGCUGGAAUC
Molecule: ribosomal RNA, 412 nt
Filed under: uncultured bacterium
Lineage: Bacteria
Description: bacterial SSU rRNA
Rfam family: Bacterial small subunit ribosomal RNA
Source: RNAcentral